UGCGUAGGCGGAUUAAUAAGUCAGUGGUGAAAACCUGCAGCUUAACUGCAGACCUGCCAUUGAUACUGUUAGUCUUGAGUACGGUCAAGGUAGGCGGAAUGUGUAAUGUAGCGGUGAAAUGCUUAGAUAUUACACAGAACACCGAUUGCGAAGGCAGCUUACGGGGCCAUUACUGACGCUGAGGCACGAAAGCGUGGGGAGCGAACAGGAUUAGAUACCCUGGUAGUCC
Molecule: ribosomal RNA, 229 nt
Filed under: uncultured bacterium
Lineage: Bacteria
Description: partial 16S ribosomal RNA
Rfam family: Bacterial small subunit ribosomal RNA
Source: RNAcentral